AUCCAUUCAUCCCUCUCUAUCCAUCCACCCCUCUCUAUCCAUCCCUCUCUCCCUCUCUAUCCAUCCUUCCCUCCCUAUCCAUCCCUCCCUCCCUCUCUAUCCAUCCAUCCCUCCCUCUCUAUCCAUCCAUCCCUCUAUCCAUUCAUCCAUCCAUCCCUCCCGAUCCAUCCCUCCCUAUCCAUCGAUCCAUUCAUCCAUCCCUAUCUAUGCCUAUCCAUCCACCCUUCUCUCUCCAUCCAUCCAUCCCUCCCUCCUUUAUCCAUCCAUCCAUCCAUAUUUUUCUUUUGAGAGUAAGAAUACACUGG
Pelobates cultripes (western spadefoot toad) is the source of this 305-nucleotide non-coding RNA. The record is from the annotation of a GenBank genome assembly. Lineage: Eukaryota; Metazoa; Chordata; Amphibia; Anura; Pelobatidae.